RNAcentral lists this long non-coding RNA (379 nucleotides) under Chloebia gouldiae (Gouldian finch). Its description in RNAcentral is "Erythrura gouldiae (Gouldian finch) lncRNA (ENSEGOG00005001131.1)". Lineage: Eukaryota; Metazoa; Chordata; Aves; Passeriformes; Passeridae. The record is from RNAcentral.
CGGGGAGCUGCAGGCACCAUGGGCUUGCCUUGGCAGUGUCUGCCAGCAACACAGCUCUGCACACUUGGGUUUUCAGGUCGGGUUGUGCCCACACACCACAAAACCCACGGAGCCCUGCAACCACGAGGCAUCGCUGCACACCACGCACUGAGGUGGACAGAGGCUGCAGAGACCUCUCUGAGUGCCUGGCAGGUCCCAAUGCUGGCAGGGCCUGCAGACACUCCAAGGGUCCAGGUGAGGCAGCUGCCAGGCAUCACUGCAGUGAAACUUUGGCACCAGGUAAAUGUACCAUCAGCCUGUACAGCUGGAAUGACCUUCGCUUAACCUUUCUGGCUGAAACUAUUCUCUUGACCACAGAAUAAUUAAGUGUAGAUAUCUG